UACAGAGGUCUCGAGCGUUAAUCGGAGUCACUGGGCUUAAAGGGUGCGUAGGCGGGCCCGCAAGUGCUUUGUGAAAUCCCAUGGCUUAACCAUGGAAUGGCUUGGCAUACUGCGGGUCUUGAGGUCGGUAGAGGCUGCUGGAACUCUAGGUGGAGCGGUGAAAUGCGUAGAUAUCUAGAGGAACGCCGAUGGUGAAGACAGGCAGCUGGGCCGAUUCUGACGCUGAGGCACGAAAGCGUGGGGAGCGAACGGG
RNAcentral lists this ribosomal RNA (253 nucleotides) under uncultured bacterium. Its description in RNAcentral is "partial 16S ribosomal RNA". It matches the Rfam family "Bacterial small subunit ribosomal RNA", at positions 524 to 776 of the family's 1533-position model. The record is from RNAcentral.